Molecule: ribosomal RNA, 257 nt
Filed under: uncultured bacterium
Lineage: Bacteria
Description: partial 16S ribosomal RNA
Rfam family: Bacterial small subunit ribosomal RNA
Source: RNAcentral
UACGUAGGGUGCAAGCGUUGUCCGGAAUUAUUGGGCGUAAAGAGCUCGUAGGCGGCUUGUCGCGUCGGCUGUGAAAACCUGGGGCUCAACCCCCGGGCCUGCAGCCGAUACGGGCAAGCGUAGAAUUCGGUAGGGGAGACUGGAAUUCCUGGUGUAGCGGUGGAAAUGACGCAGAUAUCAGGAGGAACACCGGUGGCGAAGGCAGGUCUCUGGGCAUUAACUGACGCUGAGGAGCGAAAGCAUGGGGAGCGAACAGG